UGGAUGGUGGCGAAAAUGGAAAACGCAGAAUGGGACCGUGACAAAUAUCGGGUUAUGACCGAGGCGAAUCUGUUUCUUUUAACCACUAAGAGAAACUUGCAGGUUCAAAUCCUGCCCAUCCAA
This 123-nucleotide transfer RNA is filed under the name Anaerocolumna aminovalerica. Its description in RNAcentral is "tRNA-OTHER". It matches the Rfam family "tRNA". From Rfam's summary of the family: Transfer RNA (tRNA) molecules are approximately 80 nucleotides in length. Their secondary structure includes four short double-helical elements and three loops (D, anti-codon, and T loops). Further hydrogen bonds mediate the characteristic L-shaped molecular structure. tRNAs have two regions of fundamental functional importance: the anti-codon, which is responsible for specific mRNA codon recognition, and the 3' end, to which the tRNAs corresponding amino acid is attached (by aminoacyl-tRNA synthetases). tRNAs cope with the degeneracy of the genetic code in two manners: having more than one tRNA (with a specific anti-codon) for a particular amino acid; and 'wobble' base-pairing, i.e. permitting non-standard base-pairing at the 3rd anti-codon position. Lineage: Bacteria; Bacillati; Bacillota; Clostridia; Lachnospirales; Lachnospiraceae. The record is from RNAcentral.